CGUGCGCCUUCACCCGUGAGCUGUUUAUAUGUCUGUAAUUAAUGUGCACCUAUAUUGUACACCAUAGGUACAUUUGACCUUCCCAGGAAAAUCCCAUUAGAUCCAUUUUCUUGGCACCUCCACAAAUGAAUUUUGAAACGAAAUCAAGAACCAUUUUUUGUGCUGAUCUGUGACGUUAUUCCCGACAUUUAUGCUUUUAAACUUUCCGAGAUACGGCUGGUUUUCUUAGGGAGUGCUGAGAAAAUAGUUUCACUUCUUUCCGACGUGUACAAUAGCUAUCGUAAGUCCGGAUUUUUUACGUAUAAUUUACUAUGUUUGGUUGUAAGCCCAUAUUAGUGCUAUCUAUGCAUAU
This is a non-coding RNA of Cinara cedri, 352 nucleotides long. The record is from the annotation of a GenBank genome assembly. NCBI's taxonomy places the organism in Eukaryota, Metazoa, Arthropoda, Insecta, Hemiptera, Aphididae.